CUUGCUUAAAUGAGAUACUUUCUUAUUUCGACAGGUUUUGCAUCUUCUCGUUUGAAUGUGAUGUUCCUUCUGAAUUGACUUCCUCACUCUGGCAGUUAAACACCUGAGCAGUCAGAUCACACCAAGGCACCAGGUUCUCCUGUUGGGACAUCUUUGAGCUCCAACCUCAGCUCACCAUCGUCUUCUGUUUCUCUAUUUAGAACAAUCAGAGCAGGAAGCUGCAAACAAUAAACUUGGAGGCGCCCCACCCACGACCACAACCUGUUUUUAGUGACCCAUGAACAGCCCUCACCCAACGCUGCGGCCAGAAAACAAUGGCCUUCCACCGUCUGAGCCCCUGAGCUUUCAACGUGUUCAUCGUAUAGUGGCUCGGUCACACUGGAACCUUUCCCACCCAAAAAAAGAAGUAAAAAAUUAAUAAAUAAAAAUAAUUCAGUCAUGCCAGGUUA
Long non-coding RNA from Poecilia latipinna (sailfin molly), 449 nucleotides. RefSeq lists it as uncharacterized. The record is from RefSeq and is a predicted model, not a curated record. Lineage: Eukaryota; Metazoa; Chordata; Actinopteri; Cyprinodontiformes; Poeciliidae. The transcript is spliced from 2 exons.